GUUAGAGAGCAACACAGUUCCAUGUCCGAAACAAGAAUACGCAGAAGCAACAGCAGCUUAAGUACAGAGGUUAUAAAAGGUGUAGGAUGCUGCACUUACCUUGAUGAGCCUCAGCGAGUUCCUCUGCCCAGCUGCCCAGCCUGUCCAGGUUGUGCUGAAUGGAAGCAGAGCCUUCUGGCAUGUCAGCCACUCCUCAUGGCUUCAUAUUAUCAGCAAACUUACUUGGGGUGUACUCUGUCCCUUCAUCUAGUUCACUGAUGAGGAUGAGAUUGCAAAACAAUAUCAGUACUGAAAUCAAAGCUAUAUUUUGCAGUUGGCUACUACAACAGAAAAAGAAGAUGAGUCACAGUCUCUCCAAGUGUGAGGUAGCAGUUAUCAGGACUCUGAGUCUGACACAGCUUUAUCAUCUUUGGGAGAGAAUGUUCUGGCAGUACCUCCAAUACCCAGGGGUUGCAGAGACCUGAUUUCCAUACAGUUUCAAAUAAAAUAAUUAGUAAAUGUAACAUCAGAGAGGACUGAGGUUAAUUCAACACAGAGAGCAACGAUUGUGAGACUGUGACUGCCUCUGAAUCAGGCUGUUGUGACUGCAGUUCUGCUUCCUGUAACAGGUAUGUUUCCAUAACACAUGCACCUCCUCUUCUGCCAGAUAUGACUUCUGUAUCUUGUCCACUAAUUUAAACAAGUCUUAUCAAGCAAUAGGUCAGUUCAGGCUCUGUGCUCAGCUAAUGGCUCUUUGUGGGAGCCAGAUGGAAAUGGUGUCAACUUCUGUGUUUGUUCGUGCAGUGGUGAUUUAAGGAAACAUACAUUUAGAGCGGCAGUGGUGUAUCUGAACUUUUCGUGGAAGAUUAACUUCUAAACAAAUCUGACAGAUGCAGAAUCUGAAAGUGCUUGUUAAGUUCACUUUAGAAUAAAGCAUGCCAUUGUCAAAGAAGCAUAUUGUGGAUGCUCCUGACUGCACACAGUGUACUACAGUCAUCAUCAGAAAUGAGGCUCAGAUUGCUAUUUUUCAUACAUAUAGAUUCUUACUUCUGCCCCCACCCCCUUUUUCCCUGUCAAGUCUGUUUGAUUGUUUCUGCCUCUAAUGGACUUACUUUUUUUGCUGCAGCACUUCAUCAAGUGUUUCCUGUUUGUCUUGCAGCAGACGCUGGAGGUGCUUCAUUUCUUGCUGAUACUGAGCAGUCUUCCCAGCAAAAUCUUUCUCCUGCUCAGUCAUUUUGAGACUGAUAUCUCCAAGCUUCCCAGCUGCUCUCUUUUUAUAGAUCUACAGAGUUAACAGGAAAAAUGUUUUGAUAGCAGAAAUAAGAGUGCUUCAUUACCAACAAAAGGAAACUGUAAGAGACUGAAUCACAGUUUAGUAUUUUCUUCAGUGAUGCUUUUCUUAAAUCCAUCAAGUAUGUUGCAUUGUUUUUGUUUUUAUUAACAGAUUGUGAUGGCAUUACACUUGCACUUUGUUAUGCAUAUAAAACCAGUAUGGAUGAUUCUGAGUGAAAAGAAUCAGCUGCAAAAAUGGGUUUGUGCAGAGCUAUACUUCACAGAGCACAAAUUAUAGAAUGGUUUGGGUUGGAAUGAACCUUAAAGAUCCUUUAGUUCCAAUCCCCUGCCACUAAAUCAAGCUGAUGAAAGCUCUGUGGUGUUUAACAUUUGUCCAGCAAUUGUAUUUAUCAGUGCAUGCUGACAUCUGCAACCGCAGGCACUCAGAACCUUCAGAGCAGGCUCCUGAAUUGUUCAGGACUGUCUCAUUAAUUUUCUCUGAAGUAAAGCAGGCAGUAGUGUAUGGAGAUGACAAUUUGCAGGAAGAGAGGGAAUAACAUAGCUGGAAGUGGUAAUAGAGAUAGGCUGCCUAAGGUCACGGCAUCACAGGCAUAUAGCAAGCACUGAAGAUGAGCACUUAUGAUGGAUGUAGCAGCUGGUACUGAAGGGAAUAUAACCUACACUCCUGCAAAGAAGUUCUAAGAAGCUACAUUCUUAGUAGUCUAAUUCUCUUAUGUUUUGCAUAAUGAGUUAUGUAGGAGCCAUUUAAAUUGUACUACAGAUUUUAUGUUACUUCUCGUCCUGAAGUAACAAACAGUUUUAGACCACUAUCUUAGUAACUGGGAAUGGAAUACAUAUUUAAAGUUUAUUUAAAACAACUGUUGAACAAAACCAUUUCAUCAAUUAUGUACUGAUAAAACAAACAAAAAACCACGUGACCUACUUAAAAAAGAAGCCUCAUUUGCAGGAUAGUUCAUGUUCUAUAUGACUAUUUAGAAAAAGAAAUGCAAAAGCCAUACACUUGAGUUGAAUCUUUUCCAAUUACAAAGGGAAGAGAGUUAGCAUUAAAUGUUCUGCUCCACAGUUAGACUUGUUAAUGAUGUUCAUUCAGUGACCUGUUGAAAGCAGCAUUCAAGUACAAUUAAGAAUUAUUUGUGAUGAGUGAUGACUGUGAUUCCAUUUCUAAAAAACUCAAAAUCAGCAUCUUUCAUAACAGCACAAAGUUGCUACUGACUUAUUAUAAUAGCUUUACAGAACAUUCACAUUAAAGCUGGUUUACCUUCAUUUUUUCUUCCAACCUUCCUAAGUGUAGACUGCCUUCUACUAUUUUCUUAAGAACUCCAUGGUUCUCAUUUUCCAAGCACUUGGCC
Molecule: long non-coding RNA, 2621 nt
Organism: Coturnix japonica (Japanese quail)
Lineage: Eukaryota; Metazoa; Chordata; Aves; Galliformes; Phasianidae
Source: RefSeq, a predicted model, not a curated record